RNAcentral lists this ribosomal RNA (708 nucleotides) under Bacillus sp. AS26. RNAcentral describes it as "bacterial SSU rRNA". It matches the Rfam family "Bacterial small subunit ribosomal RNA", at positions 105 to 801 of the family's 1533-position model. The record is from RNAcentral. Lineage: Bacteria; Bacillati; Bacillota; Bacilli; Caryophanales; Bacillaceae.
GGUGAGUAACACGUGGGCAACCUGCCUGUAAGACUGGGAUAACUUGCGGAAACGUGAGCUAAUACCGGAUAAUUUCUUUCUUCRCAUGGAGAGAGGUUGAAAGACGGCUUUGCUGUCACUUACAGAUGGGCCCGCGGCGCAUUAGCUAGUUGGUGAGGUAACGGCUCACCAAGGCGACGAUGCGUAGCCGACCUGAGAGGGUGAUCGGCCACACUGGGACUGAGACACGGCCCAGACUCCUACGGGAGGCAGCAGUAGGGAAUCUUCCGCAAUGGACGAAAGUCUGACGGAGCAACGCCGCGUGAGUGAAGAAGGUCUUCGGAUCGUAAAACUCUGUUAUCAGGGAAGAAUAAGUACCGUGUAACUARCGGUACCUUGACGGUACCUGACCAGAAAGCCACGGCUAACUACGUGCCAGCAGCCGCGGUAAUACGUAGGUGGCAAGCGUUGUCCGGAAUUAUUGGGCGUAAAGCGCGCGCAGGCGGUUCUUUAAGUCUGAUGUGAAAUCUUGCGGCUCAACCGUGAGCGGUCAUUGGAAACUGGAGAACUUGAGUGCAGAAGAGAAGAGCGGAAUUCCACGUGUAGCGGUGAAAUGCGUAGAGAUGUGGAGGAACACCAGUGGCGAAGGCGGCUCUUUGGUCUGUAACUGACGCUGAGGCGCGAAAGCGUGGGGAGCGAACAGGAUUAGAUACCCUGGUAGUCCACGCC